This 248-nucleotide ribosomal RNA is filed under the name uncultured Lachnospiraceae bacterium. RNAcentral describes it as "partial 16S ribosomal RNA". It matches the Rfam family "Bacterial small subunit ribosomal RNA", at positions 524 to 771 of the family's 1533-position model. The record is from RNAcentral. Lineage: Bacteria; Bacillati; Bacillota; Clostridia; Lachnospirales; Lachnospiraceae.
UACGUAGGGGGCAAGCGUUAUCCGGAUUUACUGGGUGUAAAGGGAGCGUAGGUGGCAGGACAAGUCAGAAGUGAAAGCCCGGGGCUUAACCGCGGGACUGCUUUUGAAACUGCCCGGCUGGAGUGCAGGAGAGGUAAGCGGAAUUCCUAGUGUAGCGGUGAAAUGCGUAGAUAUUAGGAGGAACACCAGUGGCGAAGGCGGCUUACUGGACUGUAACUGACACUGAGGCUCGAAAGCGUGGGGAGCAA